RNAcentral lists this transfer RNA (87 nucleotides) under Phycisphaeraceae bacterium. RNAcentral's name for it is "tRNA-Ser". It matches the Rfam family "tRNA". Rfam says of the family: Transfer RNA (tRNA) molecules are approximately 80 nucleotides in length. Their secondary structure includes four short double-helical elements and three loops (D, anti-codon, and T loops). Lineage: Bacteria; Pseudomonadati; Planctomycetota; Phycisphaerae; Phycisphaerales; Phycisphaeraceae. The record is from RNAcentral.
GGAGAGGUGUCCGAGCGGCUUAAGGAGCCGGUCUCGAAAACCGGUGUGGCGUCCGCGUCACCGUGGGUUCGAAUCCCACCCUCUCCG